This 301-nucleotide ribosomal RNA is filed under the name uncultured bacterium. RNAcentral describes it as "partial 16S ribosomal RNA". It matches the Rfam family "Bacterial small subunit ribosomal RNA", at positions 509 to 808 of the family's 1533-position model. The record is from RNAcentral.
CAGUCGCCACGGGAAUACGAAGGGUGCAAGCGUUAAUCGGAAUUACUGGGCGUAAAGCGUGCGUAGGCGGUUUGUUAAGUCUGCUGUGAAAUCCCCGGGCUCAACCUGGGAAUGGCAGUGGAUACUGGCAAGCUAGAGUGUGUCAGAGGAUGGUGGAAUUCCCGGUGUAGCGGUGAAAUGCGUAGAUAUGUGGAGGAAUACCGAUGGCGAAGGCAGCCCCCUGGGAUAACACUGACGCUCAUGCACGAAAGCGUGGGGAGCAAACAGGAUUAGAUACCCCCGUAGUCCCUGUCUCUUUACA